GAGGGAGUUGGCCGUGAGUGGCGCCGCCCACAAGGGGACGGGACGGGACGGGACUCCGGGCCGGGAGCUGCGAGCGGCGGCCCCGAUGGAGAUCUGUCUGGCCGGCAAACGGGCCCUGGUGACGGGCGCCGGCAAAGGGAUCGGGAGAGCAACUGUCAAAGCCCUGCUGGCGUGUGGAGCUGAAGUGAUUGCAGUGACCAGGACACAGUCUGACCUGGACAGCCUUGUGCAAGAGUGUCCCAAGAUACUGACAAUCUGUGCUGACCUGAGUAACUGGGAGGCCACAGAGAGGGCACUGAAGGACAUUGGUCGUGUGGAUCUCCUGGUGAACAAUGCAGCCGUUGCCCUAUUGGAGCCGUUCCUGGAGAUGACCCAGGGCGCAAUUGAUAAAUCAUUUGACAUUAAUGUGAAAGCUAUGAUGCAUGUUUCACAGAUUAUUGCAAAAGGGAUGAAGUGCCGUGGGGCCGGCGGGGCCAUUGUGAAUCUCUCCAGUCAGGCCUCCCAGUGUGCGCUGAAAGACCACGCCGUGUACUGUGCCACAAAAGGUGCUGUGGACAUGCUGACUAAAGUGAUGGCACUUGAACUGGGACCACACAAGAUACGAGUGAAUACAGUGAACCCCACUGUGGUGAUGACGGCCAUGGGCCGGAUCGGAUGGAGUGACCCGGCAAAGGCGUCAGGAAUGUUGUCCCGUAUCCCACUUGGCAGGUUUGCAGAAGUUGAAGAUGUGGUGAACACAAUCAUCUUCCUCCUCAGUGACAAGAGCGCUAUGAUCACAGGAACCGCUCUGCCUGUGGAUGGCGGGUUUCUUGCCUCCUGAGGCCAUCUGUGAGUAAAUGAGGGGUUUGUAAAAGCCGCUUGUAAUUUAGUCUUGAAUUAUAUGAAGUUGAGUCUGCAAUCAACUGAUUUUUCCUGAGGAAUCUAUGAGGAUGGAAAAUGAAAUACUAGAGGGUGUGGCUUUAAGGUGAAGGGGACAAAGUUUAAAGGUAUGGGGCAUGUUUAUUACAUGGUGGCGGGUGGGUGCCUGGAAUGUGCUGCUGGUUGAGACAGAUAUGUUGUGGCAUUUGAAAGGCUUUUGGACAGGCUCAUGGAUAUGCAGAGAAUGGAGCAGUAUGGGUUAUGGCAGGUAGAUAAGUGGUCUUGGCAUCAUGUUUGGCACUGACAUUGUGGGCAGAAGGGCCUGUUUCUGUGCUGUUCCAUGUUCUACGUGUAUGAUGAACAGACUUAUACCAGAACACAGCAGAUUUUUUAAAUUGUAGCUUUCUGCCCUUGAAUUGCUGCAUUUUACAUUUAUCUCAAUUGUCCUUACCUUUGCUGUACACUCAUUGUUAAAAAUCUUUCAUGUAGGGGAUUGAAUCAGCUUCCCUUUAGUUUGAAGCAGAGGUAUACAAAUUCUGAACGGUAAGAAACUAUCGCAGUGGCAGAAAUGUGUCACAUCAGAGGCACCAGUUAAAGGGUAAGGAACAAAGAGUUUCCAGAAGAUUCAGAAACAAGGAACUGCAGAUGGUUUACAAUAAAACACACAGUGCUGGAGUAAGUCAGCUGGCCAGGCAGCAUCUCUGGAGAAGAUGGAUGGGUGACGUUUAGGGACUGAUGUUCUCCCGCGAUGCUGCUUGACCCGCUAUGUUACUCCCGCACUUUUUGUUUUUUGUUUUACAUGAGAUUCACUUGUUUUUAAAAAUCCUUAAUGUAGAAGCCUCAUCUCCAGCACACUAAUUGGUUCCAAGAGUCAAAUGAAUCCCUUUUUUAAAUUAAUGCCUUGUAUUCUGGUUUGCUCUUCAGUCUCCAUUUCUCACUUGUUUCAAUUUAGCCGAGUCUUCCAUCCACACACUUUGAUUCAUUGCUGUGCUAUCAUUUUACAUUGAUUACUAACCCCUGCUCUCUGCACACUUCUCAUAAAUCCAGUCCUUGCAUCCACUUAACGCCCCUUUCAUCUAUCAAUGCUGAGCUCAUCUUUGCAUUUUUAUUGCCUGGACUUGCAUUUCUGGCCACCAAAAUGGUCUUCAUUAAUUUCCCCGACUCAUAAACUUCUAGCCCCAAUCACUUUAUUAUGUGAGUUUUCCUCGCUGUUAUCAGAAAACGUGAAAGUAGAAAGUGUUACAUUUAUAAUAAUGUUAUUUUCCUAAAUCUUCCCAGACUUUUGGGUUAUCUAUUUCUUUCACUAAUCGGGACAAGUAGUAUUGUCUUUUUCUUUUUAAUUCAUUGAUAUUUUCAAAAAUCUCCAUUGCUGGUACAAGCACAAAUUAUGAAGCAAUGUGAUCUGCCUCAAGGGAUGUUAGGAAGGAUUGGUAGACUUUUUUCAUUGUUCCACACUGUACUAUCCGACACCAUUAUGGUAAAGUCAAAGUCUGAAGGGUCCCAAACCAAAAUGUCACAUGUCCAUUCCCUCCGCAGGUGCUGACUGACCCGCUGGGUUACUCUAGCACUUUAGUGUUUUGCUCAAGAACCCAGCAUCUGCAGUUCCUUGUGUCUCCAGGGCAAAGUCAUGAUGGAACAUUUAAUUCUCCAAUUUUAGUGAAAUUGAUACGUGUGGCGAGAAGUGAGAAGUGGAGACUGAAGGACAAACCAGAAUACAAGGCACUUUGGUGCGUUUAUCUUUGGCUAACUAAAGGCAAUUCUACAGGGUCUAGUUAGCUUAGUUUUUU
Molecule: RNA transcript, 2645 nt
Organism: Amblyraja radiata (thorny skate)
Lineage: Eukaryota; Metazoa; Chordata; Chondrichthyes; Rajiformes; Rajidae
Gene: dcxr
Gene name: dicarbonyl/L-xylulose reductase
Exons: 9
Source: RefSeq, a predicted model, not a curated record